GGCGCACGGGUGAGUAAUAUAUAGAUAACGUGCCUCUUAGUCUGGGAUAGCCAUUGGAAACGAUGAUUAAUACCGGAUACUCCUUCUCUAUCUAAUUAGAGUCGGGAAAGUUUUUUCGCUAAGAGAUCGGUCUAUAUCCUAUCAGUUAGUUGGUGAGGUAACGGCUCACCAAGGCAAUGACAGGUAGCGGGUUUGAGAGGAUGAUCCGCCACACUGGUACUGAGACACGGACCAGACUCCUACGGGAGGCAGCAGUGAGGAAUAUUGCACAAUGGGGGAAACCCUGAUGCAGCAACGCCGCGUGGAGGAUGACGCAUUUCGGUGUGUAAACUCCUUUUAUAUGUCAAGAAAAUGACGGUAGCAUAUGAAUAAGCACCGGCUAACUCCGUGCCAGCAGCCGCGGUAAUACGGAGGGUGCAAGCGUUAUUCGGAAUCACUGGGCGUAAAGGACGC
RNAcentral lists this ribosomal RNA (453 nucleotides) under uncultured Sulfurimonas sp. RNAcentral describes it as "bacterial SSU rRNA". It matches the Rfam family "Bacterial small subunit ribosomal RNA", at positions 97 to 570 of the family's 1533-position model. Lineage: Bacteria; Pseudomonadati; Campylobacterota; Epsilonproteobacteria; Campylobacterales; Sulfurimonadaceae. The record is from RNAcentral.